RNAcentral lists this unclassified non-coding RNA (287 nucleotides) under uncultured fungus. RNAcentral describes it as "sequence contains ITS2". The stretch from base 1 to 52 matches the Rfam family "5.8S ribosomal RNA", at positions 103 to 154 of the family's 154-position model. The record is from RNAcentral. Lineage: Eukaryota; Fungi.
AACGCACCUUGCGCCCUUUGGUAAUCCGAGGGGCAUGCCUGUUUGAGUGUCUUGAAGCCCUCAAACCCGAAGGUCUACCUUCGUGGUUUGGAUUUGGACUCGUUGCCGGUCGCGUCGCGUCGGCUGGUCCGAAAUGCAUUAGCUGGCUGCUUAGGUCGGUGAACCGGUGUGAUAAGUAUCACUCGCCGGGUCGAGCCACCUUGAUCGCGGCUGCUUCUAACGGUCCCGCCGGGACAAUGUAUCAAGCGUUUGACCUCAAAUCAGGUAGGACUACCCGCUGAACUUAA